This 249-nucleotide ribosomal RNA is filed under the name Triticum aestivum (bread wheat). Its description in RNAcentral is "partial small subunit ribosomal RNA". Lineage: Eukaryota; Viridiplantae; Streptophyta; Magnoliopsida; Poales; Poaceae. The record is from RNAcentral.
AUGAAUCUGGAAAUGAGGGAUCAUGUUAGGAAGAGGGAGGAGGAUGAUGACGAAAUGAUGUUAUUCAUUUUACCUGCACUACAUUUGAUAGGUACCGAUGGAGUUGCUCUUAGGGAGUGUAGGAUUCCGCGUCAUACAUCAUCGCUAACAUGCGAGAUGUUUGUUAAGGAGUUACUCGAAGGGCACGUCAAAAACUGUCAGAUAGCAUUUAGGAUGGAGCCGCAUAUCUUCAAAUCUUUAGCUAAUUGA